AUUGAACGCUGGCGGCAUGCCUAACACAUGCAAGUCGAGCGGAUGAACGAGGCUUUCUCCUCUAUUCAGCUGCGGACGGGUGGGUGAGUCCUACGAAUCUACCUUAUCUUUAGGAAUAAGAUCCGUUAGGGAACCCUAAUCCCACAUACGUCCUUAUAUUGAAAGUCAUGGUUCAUUGGAGCACGCGCUUUUUGCUGUGCCUAGUACGUAUUAGCUAGUUGGUUGGGUAAAGGCGUACCAAGGCGACGAUCCGUAACUGGCCUGAGAGGAUGAUCAGCCACACUGGAACUGAGACACGGUCCAGACUCCUACGGGAGGCAGCAGUGGGGAAUAUUGGGCAAUGGGCGAAAGCCUGACCGAGCAACGCCGCGUGUGUGAAGAAGGUCUUCGGAUUGUAAAGCACUUUUAGUUGGGAAGAAGGAAAGUAUGUUAAUCUCUUGACGUCUUGACGGUACCAAAAGAAAAAGCAACGGCUAACUACGUG
RNAcentral lists this ribosomal RNA (484 nucleotides) under uncultured bacterium. RNAcentral's name for it is "partial 16S ribosomal RNA". It matches the Rfam family "Bacterial small subunit ribosomal RNA", at positions 30 to 507 of the family's 1533-position model. The record is from RNAcentral.